Molecule: ribosomal RNA, 720 nt
Filed under: Bacteroidetes bacterium GM71
Lineage: Bacteria; Pseudomonadati; Bacteroidota
Description: bacterial SSU rRNA
Rfam family: Bacterial small subunit ribosomal RNA
Source: RNAcentral
GAGGGGUAACGGGGUGCUUGCACCGCCGACGACCGGCGCACGGGUGAGUAACGCGUAUACAAUCUGCCUUGUACUGAGGGAUAGCCCAGAGAAAUUUGGAUUAAUACCUCAUAGUAUAUGGAUCUCUCAUGAGGAUCAUAUUAAAGGUUACGGUACAAGAUGAGUAUGCGUUCUAUUAGCUAGAUGGUAAGGUAACGGCUUACCAUGGCUACGAUAGAUAGGGGCCCUGAGAGGGGGAUCCCCCACACUGGUACUGAGACACGGACCAGACUCCUACGGGAGGCAGCAGUGAGGAAUAUUGGACAAUGGGCGAGAGCCUGAUCCAGCCAUGCCGCGUGCAGGAUGACGGCCCUAUGGGUUGUAAACUGCUUUUAUACAGGAAGAAACACCCCGACGUGUCGGGACUUGACGGUACUGUAAGAAUAAGGAUCGGCUAACUCCGUGCCAGCAGCCGCGGUAAUACGGAGGAUCCAAGCGUUAUCCGGAAUCAUUGGGUUUAAAGGGUCCGUAGGUGGACAAUUAAGUCAGAGGUGAAAUCCUGCAGCUCAACUGUAGAAUUGCCUUUGAUACUGGUUGUCUUGAGUUAUUAUGAAGUAGUUAGAAUAUGUAGUGUAGCGGUGAAAUGCAUAGAUAUUACAUAGAAUACCAAUUGCGAAGGCAGAUUACUAAUAAUGAACUGACACUGAUGGACGAAAGCGUGGGGAGCGAACAGGAUUAGAU